AGGACAAGACUCAUUAUAGAACUGACCAGGACAAGACUCAUUAUAAAACUGACCAGGACAAGACUCAUUAUAGAACUGACCAGGACAAGACUCAUUAUAGAGCUGACCAGGACAAGACUCAUUAUAAAACUGACCAGGACAAGACUCAUUAUAGAGCUGACCAGGACAAGACUCAUUAUAAAACUGACCAGGACAAGACUCAUCAUAGAGCUGACCAGGACAAGACUGGACAAUACUCAUUAUAGAUUUGGACAGGGCAGGACUGGACAAGACUCAUUAUAGAACUGGACAGGUCCCGUGCCCUUUCCAGUUGGUGAAAUUUAUGGAAAUAAACCCUCACUGUUGGACAAGGCUGACUGUCCCAGAGAGUAAAGUGAUGUCCUCAGCUGUUAUUACAGUCUAAUGGGACAGUGAACAUAGUGAAAAUAGGAAGAUAUGUCCUCAGCUGUUAUUACAGUCUAAUUGGACAGUGAACAUAAUGAAAAGAGGAAGAUAUGUCCUCAGCUGUUAUUACAGUCUAAUGGGACAGUGAACAUAGUGAAAAGAGGAAGAUAUGUCCUCAGCUGUUAUUACAGUCUAAUGGGACAGUGAACAUAGUGAAAAGAGGAAGAUAUGUCCUCAGCUGUUAUUACAGUCUAAUGGGACAGUGAACAUAGUGAAAAGAGGAAGAUAUGUCCUCAGCUGUUAUUACAGUCUAAUGAGACAGUGAACAUAAUGAAAAGAGGAAGAUAUGUCCUCAGCUGUUAUUACAGUCUAAUGAGACAGUGAACAUAAUGAAAAGAGGAAGAUAUGUCCUCAGCUGUUAUUACAGUCUAAUGAGACAGUGAACAUAGUGAAGAGGAAGGGAUGUCCUCAGUUGUACUGCUGCUGUUCUGUUCUGUGAGAUACAGGCGCUCCAAGGCUUUCCACAGUGUGUCAUAUCCUUUUGGAACUACUACAUUAGUCAUGACACUUCCUGUCCUCUUGUCAACCAUGCUUCUGAUCCAGAACACACCCACUGAUCCCGCCCACAUGUUCCAGUUAGUUUCACUGUGUUCAUCUCUGUUUUCUCUGUGUUUAUUGGUCCUGGUUGGCCCUGGUUGGUCGGUCCUGGUUGGUUGUUCUUGGUUGGUUAUGUCAUUGACAGCACAUGUCCCAUUUGAGUCUGAGCCAUGAAGGUGAUGUGUUUUGGCUCAGUCUAUUUCCUUGUUUUUAGAGGACGAUUCUGGAAUAAAAGAGGUUGAGUGAGGAUAUGGCUGCUUGUCUUUCCUCAGUUUCAAGGCCUUACCCAGGCCUUACCCAGGCCUUUCCCAGGCCUUUCCCAGGCCUUUCCCAGGCCUUUCCCAGGCCUUUCCUUUCCCAGGCCUAAGUAAGGCCUU
Long non-coding RNA from Oncorhynchus tshawytscha (Chinook salmon), 1358 nucleotides. Lineage: Eukaryota; Metazoa; Chordata; Actinopteri; Salmoniformes; Salmonidae. The record is from Ensembl.